UAGUUCUGGUUUCCCUUCAAAACGUACAAAUCUUUCGGCGUUUAUCAAAGAUUACCGUGGAGGGGAGUAAUUCAAUGAGUUAAAGGCUAUUUUCUUAACGGUUCAUCCUUUGGGCCA
Portunus trituberculatus (swimming crab) is the source of this 117-nucleotide small nuclear RNA. RefSeq annotates it as U5 spliceosomal RNA. The record is from RefSeq and is a predicted model, not a curated record. The transcript has a single exon. NCBI's taxonomy places the organism in Eukaryota, Metazoa, Arthropoda, Malacostraca, Decapoda, Portunidae.